GCGAAAAGAAAGGAAGCCCUUCCUCGGUUAGCAGCCCGGCGAGCGACGACAAGCGCAUCAUCCCGCUUUACCUCUUUCAGCGUGCGUGCGUACGGCGGCGAAGGGUGGGCGGCAAAAUGACAUCCUUAUCGGAUGGCUCGCGUGCCUGCGUACGGCGGCGAAGGGUACGAGAAACAACACACCCAGAUUUCUGCCAGGCACCAGCAACAUGAACGUCGAGGAAGAAGUGUUCCGGAUUCAGAAGAAGCUCGGCAAAAUGACAUCCUUAUCGAAUGGCUCGCGUGCCUGCGUACGGCGGCGAAGGGUACGAGAAACAACACACCCAGAUUUCUGCCAGGCACCAGCAACAUGAACGUCGAGGAAGAAGUGUUCCGGAUUCAGAAGAAGCUCGGCAAAAUGACAUCCUUAUCGGAUGGCUCGUCACUCGCCUGGCGGCGCGUUAUCUUCCGCCAAGAUUCCAAGUUCUUGGGGUGUGCACUUGCAAGAAUCCAAGAGGGAAAAUAUCUGCUGGGUAAUUCGCUGUUCUGGGUUGUAUCUUUUCGAUGCGUGCGUACGGCGGCGAAGGGUACGAGAAACAACACACCCAGAUUUCUGCCAGGCACCAGCAACAUGAACGUCGAGGAAGAAGUGUUCCGGAUUCAGAAGAAGCUCGGCAAAAUGACAUCCUUAUCGGAUGGCUCGCGUGCGUGCGUACGGCGGCGAAGGGUACGAGAAACAACACACCCAGAUUUCUGCCAGGCACCAGCAACAUGAACGUCGAGGAAGAAGUGUUCCGGAUUCAGAAGAAGCUCGGCAAAAUGACAUCCUUAUCGGAUGGCUCGCGUGCGUGCGUACGGCGGCGAAGGGUACGAGAAACAACACACCCAGGUUUCUGCCAGGCACCAGCAACAUGAACGUCGAGGAAGAAGUGUUCCGGAUUCAGAAGAAGCUCGGCAAAAUGACAUACUUAUCGGAAUUUUUUUUUUAAUUUCUUAAAUUAAAUACCGCUGUCUUCCUUUCUG
Anopheles aquasalis is the source of this 1001-nucleotide RNA transcript. RefSeq lists it as uncharacterized. The record is from RefSeq and is a predicted model, not a curated record. NCBI's taxonomy places the organism in Eukaryota, Metazoa, Arthropoda, Insecta, Diptera, Culicidae.